AUAUUUGGCCAUUGGCGCAAGCCUGGACCAACCAUUCCGCGGGAUAGAUUAAAGGCCUACGGGUUUUAAAGUCUUUUUGCCAGAGAGGAAAUGACGCUAACUAAUACAAGAUACUCCGCACGCUACCUGCAGAAUACCCCCCGACUACGUACGUGGCAACAGCCGCGGGAAUACGAAGGGUGCAAGCGUUAAUCGGAAUUACUGGGCGUAAAGCGCACGUAGGCGGAUUGGAAAGAUAGGGGUGAAAUCCCAGGGCUCAACCCUGGAACUGCAUUUUAUACUGCCGGGCUAGAGUAUGAGAGAGGGGGGUAGAAUUCCGCGUGUAGCAGUGAAAUGCGUAGAUAUUUGGAGGAAUACCGGUGGCGAAGGCAGCCCCCUGGGAUGAUACUGACGCUGAGGUGCGAAAGCGUGGGGAGCAAACA
This 422-nucleotide ribosomal RNA is filed under the name uncultured bacterium. RNAcentral's name for it is "partial 16S ribosomal RNA". It matches the Rfam family "Bacterial small subunit ribosomal RNA", at positions 361 to 774 of the family's 1533-position model. The record is from RNAcentral.